AACGAACGCUGGCGGCAGGCUUAACACAUGCAAGUCGAGCGCCCCGCCAGGGGAGCGGCAGACGGGUGAGUAACGCGUGGGAACGUACCUUUUGGUUCGGAACAACUCCGGGAAACUGGAGCUAAUACCGGAUAAGCCCUAACGGGGAAAGAUAUAUCGCCGAAAGAUCGGCCCGCGUCUGAUUAGCUAGUUGGUGAGGUAACGGCUCACCAAGGCGACGAUCAGUAGCUGGUCUGAGAGGAUGAUCAGCCACACUGGGACUGAGACACGGCCCAGACUCCUACGGGAGGCAGCAGUGGGGAAUAUUGGACAAUGGGCGCAAGCCUGAUCCAGCCAUGCCGCGUGAGUGAUGAAGGCCUUAGGGUUGUAAAGCUCUUUUGUCCGGGAAGAUAAUGACUGUACCGGAAGAAUAAGCCCCGGCUAACUUCGUG
Molecule: ribosomal RNA, 431 nt
Filed under: uncultured bacterium
Lineage: Bacteria
Description: partial 16S ribosomal RNA
Rfam family: Bacterial small subunit ribosomal RNA
Source: RNAcentral